This 124-nucleotide ribosomal RNA is filed under the name Amborella trichopoda. The record is from RNAcentral. Lineage: Eukaryota; Viridiplantae; Streptophyta; Magnoliopsida; Amborellales; Amborellaceae.
UUAUGUGUCCUUUGGGUACGGGGAUAUCAGCACUAGAUCCCAAAAGAACAUCAAAGUUAAGCAUGCCUCAAAAAGAGUAGUACUAGGAUGGGUGACCUCCUAAGAAGUCCUUUUGUUGCACCUC